RNAcentral lists this non-coding RNA (28 nucleotides) under Mus musculus (house mouse). The record is from RNAcentral. Lineage: Eukaryota; Metazoa; Chordata; Mammalia; Rodentia; Muridae.
UCAACACAUUCUUCUAGUUCCUCACUGC